UACGGGGGGGGCAAGCGUUGUUCGGAAUUACUGGGCGUAAAGGGCGCGUAGGUGGCCAACUAAGUCAGACGUGAAAUCCCUCGGCUUAACCGGGGAACUGCGUCUGAUACUGGAUGGCUUGAGUUUGGGAGAGGGACGCGGAAUUCCAGGUGUAGCGGUGAAAUGCGUAGAUAUCUGGAGGAACACCGGUGGCGAAGGCGGCGUCCUGGACCAAUACUGACACUGAAACGCGAAAGCCAGGGGAGCAAACGGG
This 253-nucleotide ribosomal RNA is filed under the name uncultured bacterium. RNAcentral describes it as "partial 16S ribosomal RNA". It matches the Rfam family "Bacterial small subunit ribosomal RNA", at positions 524 to 776 of the family's 1533-position model. The record is from RNAcentral.